UACCCUAUAGUAAUGUUGUUACUUCCCGCACAUAUUAGCCAUUUUCUUUACACCUGCUUUGUACGGUUAUACCCCGAAUUUUUAGGAUCUGGGAACGGGCGGCCAAGGGAGCGGCAUCGGCGUCCUCCAGCGGCAGGCAGCGGGAGAACGGCGAAAUCGGCCAGCGACGGGUGGAAAGGAGUCGCCGCCGCAGCCGCCGGAGGUCGGAGCCGAGGGGAGGUGGGCGGACAACAACGAGCGACGCCUCGAGGGUAUCUUUCCUCUUCUUGUUCUUCUUGGUCCUCUUCUUUUCCGGCGUGGCCCCGGCCGGAACCCCAAACGGGGGCGCGUCUCAUUCUCCGUCCGCGCGUCCGCUGCGGCGGCGCCGGCGGCAGGGUGUGAUGCCGCGGGGGAUGGGGAUGGAGGCGGCCGCCGUGCCGGAGGAGCUGCGGCGCAAACGCUCUGACGGCAAGUAGUGGCGAUGCUUUCCCAUCUCCUGCAAACUCGUGUUCUCAUUUACUCAGAUCCUGUCUGGAAAGGAGGGCGGCGACGAGCAGCUGUAGCCCCUCACCCAGUUGUCGGCUCGUCACAGCCCCACACGGUGGCCGGGGAGAAAGAGGAUUGUGGAGGCUGAUGUCCAAGAGAGAGGGCUGCCUGCCUUCUGGAUCCGAAGGCCCAUCUUCUCCCCAGCCGAUGACGCCAUGCCGGCCUCCUCAUUUGAUUGAGGCAUCCUCAUCAUCAGCCAAAGCAGCUUGCACAAGGCAGCGAAGUUCAGAUGUGCUUCGAUCGGGUCAUGGUGUGCUCCACUUCGCAGUAACAUAUAUGUGUUCCUGAGGUAUGUGAAACAAUAAACUGUUUCAUAAUUUUUUAUACUAACAAAAAUAACUUAGUUCUUGCAUAUGUGGUGUUACUGUCAUAUAUCUUUAAUGAGUGGGGAAAAAAAUCAAGGUGAAAGACUGAAACAAUGCCUAUAAUAUUCCAAAUUCACAUUGCUUUGCAUUCAGCUGUGCCUCAUUAUAUUCUUCAUGUAUAGACCACUGUUAUGCUAAAUCUUGAUGGAUCUUGGACUUGAUAUCUGGAAUAAUCCUGUUAUUUUCAAGUUUGUAUAUUUUCAAUAGGUGCAGUGUGGGAUACUGUAGUUGAGGCACGGGUUGAUGGCAUGUUGAUGAGCCAAUCCUGCUGCUCCAAUUGACAGCUUCAAGGGGUACAUCAAGAAGAGGAUUUUUAUUAAAAUGUGCUAAUUUUUUGAUGUCCUGAAAGUGACUAACAGUGAUCUCUACAUGCUAGGCACUUUCUAUUUUAUUGGCUUCUAAUCUGUGUCAUUUAGAGUCAUACUGAAUGUAAAUCGAGACUUCUCGUUGAAACCACCUAUUGGAGACACUGGUAAGGACACACGAGCAGGGCCAUAAAGAUUAUUAUGCGGCAUGGCACAGGACUAGCAGCAGCGUCGGCAAGGAGGUGACUGAGUCUGGUGCCGGCCAUAUCCAUCAUUGUUGGUGGUGUUGUAAUUUUUUAUUUGUUUUUGUGCAUUCUACAAAUGUAUCACAUUGCGUGUGUGAUCAGACAGCCGUUGUAAUUCUAAAUCCGUUCAAACAUUUGUCGGAUGUGCAUAAAUGUUUUGCUCCUGCAGUCUAAGAGUAAUUUAUUUACUCAAGGAAGGUGGAUGAAGAAAAGCACAAAGUAAUUUAUUUA
This is a non-coding RNA of Oryza sativa Japonica Group (Japanese rice), 1671 nucleotides long. Lineage: Eukaryota; Viridiplantae; Streptophyta; Magnoliopsida; Poales; Poaceae. The record is from RefSeq and is a predicted model, not a curated record.